Molecule: ribosomal RNA, 440 nt
Filed under: uncultured bacterium
Lineage: Bacteria
Description: partial 16S ribosomal RNA
Rfam family: Bacterial small subunit ribosomal RNA
Source: RNAcentral
CCUACGGGAGGCAGCAGUGGGGAAUAUUGCACAAUGGGGGGAACCCUGAUCCAGCGACGCCGCGUGAGUGAAGAAGUAUUUCGGUAUGUAAAGCUCUAUCAGCAGGGAAGAAAAUGACGGUACCUGACUAAGAAGCCCCGGCUAACUACGUGCCAGCAGCCGCGGUAAUACGUAGGGGGCAAGCGUUAUCCGGAUUUACUGGGUGUAAAGGGAGCGUAGACGGUAGCGCAAGUCUGAAGUGAAAUGCCUGGGCCCAACCCCGGAACUGCUUUGGAAACUGUGGAGCUAGAGUGCAGGAGAGGUAAGUGGAAUUCCUAGUGUAGCGGUGAAAUGCGUAGAUAUUAGGAGGAACACCAGUGGCGAAGGCGGCUUACUGGACUGUAACUGACGUUGAGGCACGAAAGCGUGGGGAGCAAACAGGAUUAGAUACCCGGGUAGUC